GCAGUCGAGCGGACCGAAGGGAGCUUGCUCCUUUAGGUUAGCGGCGGACGGGUGAGUAACACGUGGGCAACCUGCCCUGCAGACUGGGAUAACUUCGGGAAACCGGAGCUAAUACCGGAUAACACCGAAAACCGCAUGGUUUUCGGUUGAAAGGCGGCUUUUAGCUGUCACUGCAGGAUGGGCCCGCGGCGCAUUAGCUAGUUGGUGAGGUAACGGCUCACCAAGGCGACGAUGCGUAGCCGGCCUGAGAGGGUGACCGGCCACACUGGGACUGAGACACGGCCCAGACUCCUACGGGAGGCAGCAGUAGGGAAUCUUCCGCAAUGGACGAAAGUCUGACGGAGCAACGCCGCGUGAGUGAAGAAGGUUUUCGGAUCGUAAAACUCUGUUGUGAGGGAAGAACAAGUAUCAACUAACUAUUGGUACCUUGACGGUACCUCACCAGAAAGCCACGGCUAACUACGUGCCAGCAGCCGCGGUAAU
Molecule: ribosomal RNA, 483 nt
Filed under: uncultured bacterium
Lineage: Bacteria
Description: bacterial SSU rRNA
Rfam family: Bacterial small subunit ribosomal RNA
Source: RNAcentral